This 63-nucleotide transfer RNA is filed under the name Mesaphorura yosii. Its description in RNAcentral is "tRNA-Phe". The record is from RNAcentral. Lineage: Eukaryota; Metazoa; Arthropoda; Collembola; Poduromorpha; Tullbergiidae.
AUUUUUGUAGCUUAGUUAGAGCAUUGUUUUGAAGAAGCAGGGGAAGAUUUGUUCUCAAAAGUA